GACAGAGGGUGCGAACGUUGCUCGGAAUUCCUGGGAGUAAAGCGCGUGUAGGCGGACUAGUAAGUCGAACGUGAAAUCCCCAGGCUCAACCUGGGAACUGCGUCCGAUACUGGCAGGCUUGAAUCCGGGAGAGGGAUGUGGAAUUCCAGGUGUAGCGGUGAAAUGCGUAGAUAUCUGGAGGAACACCGGUGGCGAAGGCGGAAUCCUGGACCGGUAUUGACGCGGAGGCGCGAAAGCUAGGGGAGCAAACGGG
This 253-nucleotide ribosomal RNA is filed under the name uncultured bacterium. Its description in RNAcentral is "partial 16S ribosomal RNA". It matches the Rfam family "Bacterial small subunit ribosomal RNA", at positions 524 to 776 of the family's 1533-position model. The record is from RNAcentral.